This is a long non-coding RNA of Hypanus sabinus (Atlantic stingray), 8362 nucleotides long. RefSeq lists it as uncharacterized. The record is from RefSeq and is a predicted model, not a curated record. Lineage: Eukaryota; Metazoa; Chordata; Chondrichthyes; Myliobatiformes; Dasyatidae. The transcript has 3 exons.
ACUCCCUGCAGGCAGCUGCAGGAAUUGAACUUGGGUCACCAGUACUGUAAACUGUCGUGUUAACCACUACGCUACCAUGCCGCCCUCAAUGCAGGGAUUACUUUUUGUUUUCUUUAUUCUGGAGGAGCUAUUGUAAUUUUUCAAUUUAUACAGAAAGUUUAUUUGAUUGCAAGCAGAACUUGUGUUUUGUAACACUUUUUGCUCCAUCAGAUUCCUUCUUCACCACAGCCUUUUCCUUUCCUACCUACCUGGCUUCACCUAUCACCUUCUCGCUAUCCUCCUUCCCCUUCCUCUCACCUCUUUAUUCAGGCAUCUUCCCCCUUCCAUUCCCAUCCUGAAGAAGAGCCUCAGUCCAAAACGUUGACUGUUUAUAGAUGCCGCCUGACCUGCUGAGUUCCUCCGGCAUUGCGUGUGUUGCUUUGGAUUUCCAGCAUCUUGUGUUUAUGUCGUGGAGAGAUCCGUCAUGAGCCUAACGCAUGGCUGUGAAUCAGGAAGCAGCCACAAAACUAAGAAACCCAAAAGGACCCAUUUUAAAAAAGCGUCGAACACCAAUGUGUGGACAGAAAGAGAAAAACAACACAUGGGACUACAGGAAUAAAGAUGAAUAUAAAAAGUUGAAUAUAAACUACUUGGCUACCAAAGAACAUUUUAGGACUGGUUAAGUACACACAAGAAUAAACAAAAGCAAAAAUAGAUGUGUAAAACCGAAUUUCUGAGUUCAGCUUUUGGGCACUGAAAGGUUUCUAAAACGAAGUGGGCAGAUAAUUUGGAUUCAGAGGGAUAAUAUUUAGAAGGGAAGAGUGUGGCUGCAUCAUUUGGUACUGGGGUGUGUUAUUUUUGGCCACCACAGGUGCUAAUUCAGUUCUGAUGUGUAAAUGCAUUUGUGGUAUGAGUUGUGCCAAAGACUCAAGCAAUAUGAUCAUCGGCCAUGUGCACACGUCCAACCACUGCCUAUAGGAAGUGUGAAGAGAAGGCAGAUGGUAACAUCAAUCAGUGUACAGCAGUGAUUUGAUACGAAUGCUCCCAUUUUAGAACACAACGCACCAUGCAAUGCCCUCACUUAACCUCGCACAGCUGAACACAUGCUCAGAAGCAGGGUGGCAGAGGGGAAGAAGCUGUGUUAUGUGUUAUGUGCAGGCAUUGUCAAUUAUAUGAUGAAGUUUGUUACCUUUACUGGCUGUUGUUACAGUCCCUUGAGUGCCUAGUGAUUUCUAGUAUUAUAAUUCUACUGCCCAUUGUGCCACUGGCGUUUAAGGCAGCAAUGAAGGUUCUCCAUCUCUGCCCGUGUUCAGGGCUUUCUUCAUCAUGUGAAUAGUUUGGUUUCCCCUAUUAUCAGUCAUGCAAUUCCCAAGUGGAAGCUCAGGAAUACUGUCACACUUAGAUGUAGAAUGCUUCUGUAUUGUUGAUUCCACAACAGUUUUGUUCUACCAGUCAGGGUUUGUGGCCCUGAGCUGACCCCUCAAACCUGGAGGACCAGUGGACCACCCUUAGUCUGCCCUUUGACCUGUUUGGCAUGGGUGACUCUACUAAGAGCCAAAGCGUAAAGCCCCGACUCCAGCCAGUAUAGCUCUCCAGGUCAAUCAGGCACGCAAGCCUCCAAACCCAUCAGCAAGGCUGUGGUCCUCUGGGAUGUAGUGUUCAAAGUGAGUAUGAUAUUUUCUGAUGAGGGAGGAACUGAAGGAAGUGUGGCUAACUUUAAAGAUUUUUCUGAAAUGCAUCUGGAUGAGGUGUCAGUUAUGAUAAAUAGUCAGAGAUGUGCAUCAGCUGCAAGGUAUGCAACAUUUCUGAGUGUAAGUUAGGUAGAAGUGCUGACUGAUACAGAUAGUUGAUAGGUGUGAUGGUCCAUCGAGUAAUACUGUAUCUGAGGUUGGCCAUACAACUGAUGGGAUAUUAUAUUUGAAGAGACAUUUUCUGAACCUAACCUGGAAAGUGAGGACAUUGGACUUCUUGUACCAUGUCUUUAAUGCUUCUGGAUAAAGCAUGAUGCUCAACUUCCAUGUCAUUCAUCAAGUUUCCAAUGCAGCCCUGGAAAAUCAUGAGGACUGUACUCUUCCACAUGAUGCCAUAGCUUCCCUGGGUGGAAUACCUUCCACUAUUUGUUGGUGCAGUUGAACCACAUCUCCAACUUCAGCAAUGAAACUUCUCAGUCCUGCUGACUAACCUAAUUGACACUGGUCGCUUACAAUCUUGGCUCCCUACCGAGGCCCACUCAACAGAGCAGUUGGUGCUGGCCGCAAAUAUGUAACUUAGCAGGCAACAUGAAAUUAGAGUGAUGCCUGAUUUAGAGGCAACUGGUAAGUUAUUUUUAUAACGCAAUCCCUGUUCUCUUUUCUGGGGCUAUCCAAUUUAACCAGCUGUGGCUAUUUGAAGAGAUGUGAGAUGCUGGGUCUAGUUUUACUAAAGUUAUGAAGAUUAAGUGGAGAUUCAGCAGAUGUUCUAAAUUAAAACAGAAUUUUGUUGGAACAUGACCACUUCCUUUGAUUAGAAUUUCAACACUGAAAGAUCAUCAGUUUGUAUCAUCAUCAAGCAUUUAUGGCAGGUGCUAAGGAAAAACUGGAUUGGCAACACAGCGGCUAUAUUUCAUUAGGGGUUUCAGGAGAUUUGGUGGGUCACUUAAAACACUCACAAAUUUCUACAGAUGUCCUGUGGAGAGCAUUCUAAAUGGCUGCAUCACUGUGCAGUUGUGUGGGGGUGGGGGAUGGCUACUGCACAGGAUCAGAAUAAGCUGCAGACUGUUGCAAAAUUAGUCAGUUCCAACAUGGGCACUAGCCUCUGUAGUAUCCAAGGCAACUUCACAGAGCGAUUCCUCAACAAAGCAACAUCCAUUGUUAAGGAUGUCCACCACCCAGGACAUGCCUUUUUCUUAUUGUUACUGUCGAGAAGGAGGUACAGAAGCCUGAAGGCACAUACUCAGCAAUUCAGGAACAGCUUCUGCCAUCGGAUUUCUGAAUGGACAUUGAACCCAUGAACACUAUCUCACUACUUUUUUUAAGUUCCUGUUUUUUGCAUUACUUAUUUAAUGUAACUAUGAUAUGUAUGUGUGUAUAUAUGUGUGUGUGUAUAUAUAUAUAUAUAUAUAUAUAUACACACACACACAUACAGUAUAUCAUAGUUACAUAUAUGUAUAUUUACUGUAAUUCUGCUUUUUAAAAUAUUAUCAUUGUACUGCAGCCGCAAAGCUAACAAAUUCCAUGACAUAGGCUGAUGGUAUUAAACCUGAUUCUGAUUACUGCUCAGUGGAGCAUUUUGCUACAAUGAUAGGUUAGAGUAGGAUUAAUUGUAUUUGAUGAAGUUCACAUGAUGCUGUUCCAAUAUAUCCCUUAGAUAAUUUCCACACAGGGUUCUUGCAUAAGAAGGGCCAGAGUCGCCUUUAAUUCCUGAGGAGACUGAGGUCCUUCAGAGUAUGCAGGCCUCUCCUUCACAUGUUCUACCAUCUGUUGUUGCCAGUACAACAUUCUAUACUGUGCUAUGCUGGGACAAUGGCAUCAACAUGGGUGAUGCUAACAGGCUCAAUAAGCUGAUUAGAUAGGCUGGUUCUGUUAUACGGGUCAAACUUGAGGCAGUGGUGGAACAAAGGACCCUGCAGAAAAUCCUGGCAUUUCUGGACAAUGUUUCUCACCUUCUGCAUGCAAUCUUGGCUAAACAGAGGAGCACUUUUAGUAAUAGACUAAGACAACUGCACUGCUCCAAAGAGCGUUAUAUGAGGUCAUUCUUACCCUCGGCCAUUAGUCUCUAUAAUGAGUCAACCUAUAUCCAGGGAAGUGAUGACCCCCUCCUGUUAGACUGUUUGCGGUAACUUAAUUUCUUUCUACUUCUCUUCUAAUAUUUAUAUCUGUGCACUUCUAAUGCUAUGGUGACACUGUAAUUUCCUUUGGGAUCAAUAAACUAUCUAUCUUCUUCUUCAUCCACAAACAGCUUAAAGGUAGUACUGAGAGUAAUACUAUCAAAUUGAGUGAGUUGCUCACACUCAUCAGUAGCACAUGGAGAUUGUAAGUUGUCGUCUUCUGCUGACUUCUUGAAAGUGAAAUAUUGCAGGUAAUGAUGAGAGGUGGAAAUGUCGUCACAUGAGAGGGCGAGGACAAAUACCAUUCAUGUAACAACUGCAAACAAGUUUGCAAACUGUGAAUACUUUUGAGGACUUCAAAUGUUUUUGAAUAUCAUAAACACUGAAAAAUGAUAAAUCAAUUUAACAAAUUAAAUCAAAAACAGCAUAUAAAGAUUUUAAUGAUUAUGAAAAAAGUGUUGUGUGUUUAAUAUUCAAGUAAUAUUUGAGUAAUCUUGUAUAUAUUGGUUAAUUAAGCACUGUUGUUCAUUUAAAAAAAUAGUAACAGGUUAUAUAUAUAAAUACGUGAAUUGUAUACAUCGCCUGGCUACCGUGUGAUUCGUGCAUAUCUCGUUUAAAGUAAACAUGAAGUUAGACUCUCAUUUCACACCCCUGUGUCUUCCUUUGAAUUAGUUUAAUGGUUUGAAGUUUCAAAAUAUAACAAAAAAUAUUCAAAGUCUUUCAUGAACAAUAAUCUACAUUAGAGCAAAAUUUACCCUUUGCCCUCCCGGCCAUUUCAUAUCAUUCAAAUGAAUGUUCUCCCUGGUCUUAACUGUUACAGAUUCAGUGAGAAGAUUCUCCAGAGUUAUUGCUGGGGAAUUAUCCAAGUGUGUGUUCUGCCACCAGGUUCCACGAAGAGCCCAGCAUAGGAGCAUUGUUGGCGUGGUUAGCCAGCAGGCUUGUGAACUAUCACAAGAUUCUGAAGUUCUUUACAUCAAAGAUCAUAAAUGCCAAAAGUUCAGCCUGGAUCUUCUGGAAUUUCUCUGAAGUUCAGGCCUUUGACAGACCUUCCCAUGGAAGGAUAUAAACAUCAGAACAUCAUUUUUAAUUGCCAAACAUGCUUUCUAACAUUAUCCAAGUCACAUCCUGAGCCAGAUAUUAAUAGGCUCAUUCUUUCCUCCAGUGAUUUAAGAACUUAAUCUACACUCCUGUUUCUGUGCAUUACUGAGUGAAUGCUAUGUGAUAGAAAGCAAAGCCUUUUGGAUGAAUUGUUCAACGGAUGACCCAGUUUGACGGUCUUGUAACAAUCACUUGGCAUUUAAGAAAAAAAGCAGAGCAGCUUUUAAACUGGAAAGGGAGCAGAAAAUAUUUACCAAGAUGUCACCUGCACUUGCAAGCCCGAGUUAGAAGCUUGGGUUGCAUAAACUUGGGCUUUAUUCUGUGAUACGUAGGGUGACCUGAUCGAUGUAUGUAAGAUCAUAAGGGUCAUAGGCAGAAAUGAAGCACCUAGUCUUUUUCACAAAAGGAGGGAGAGAGGUUGCAUAAUCAAGAGGGUAUGAGUUUGAGAUCAGUGGAGAGAGACUUAAGCUGGGUAUCAGUGACAAAUUCAAAUGGCUGGUGCAUAUUUGGAGAAGCUGUCAGAACCAGAGGUUGAAGGAGGGUACAGUAACAACAUUUAAUAGCAAUCUACAUGAGUACAUGAAUAGAAGAGGAUUAGUGUUUUGGGGCAAAUGCAGGUAGCUGGGACUACCUUGCUAUGUAGCACAGUCAACUCUGAUAAUUUGGUCAAAGGGGCUAUUUCCAUGUUAUAUGCAGUAACUCUGACUCUUAAUUGUGGUUUUAACACAGAAUAUUCAAUGGUUGCUACUGAAAACAGGCUCAAAGUAAAUUUCUUAGCAAAGUACGUAAAUAUCAUCAUAUACUACCAUCAGAUCCAUUUCCUUGCGGGCAUUCAUAGUAAAUAUAAAGACACAAUGUAGAAUCAAUGAAAAACCGCACAAGACAGACAAACAACCAAUGUGUGAAAGACACCAAACUAUGCAAAUACUAAAAGAAAAAGAAACAAACAAGAUAAAUAAAUACCAAGAACAUGGGAUGAAGAGUACUUAAAAGUGAGUCAAUAGGUCAUGGAAACAGUUCAGUGUUGAGGUGAGUGAAGUUAACUCACCACUAGCUAUCUGGCUACUUUUCAUUCCUCCUGAGGCAUGGAGCAUCAUGGUUUAAGUAAAUUUGUUUUUUUUUCUUAACAUAUUAAAAAGUAUCAAAAUGCCCACUCUUUAUAAGAAUCGUAAAAAAACACUAUGCGAAGUCCUACAUCUGAUGAAGAUGUGAAAAAUGACUACAAAUCUCUUAGUGAGAUAUAGAGAAAUGCUUCAGCUGAUAAAUAGUCCAGCUGAAAAAUGUACUUGGUGUUAGUCCUUCAGGUGUUGUUGGACCUGUUGUAUAUUUACACUUUUUCUGUUCUCAUUUCAUGCAACUGAUUGUAUAUAACUUUUAGAUGAAUGAAUACUUACCAAUUAAUUGCUAUGCCAGCCUUACAUAAUGUAACACCCUGGGAACUUGGUUUAUAAAUGAACAACCAUAUCUGUACUUCAUGUCAUUAUAAAAUUGCAAAAGCCAAAGGUGUAUUAAAAAAAAAUCAAAAUCGCUCCAGUAGCCUUGGAAUGCAUGAGUUUCCUCCAGAUGCUCCAGUUUCCUCCCACAAUCCAAAAACAUACCGGGUAGGUUAAUCACAGGUUUAUUAUUAGUUAUCCAAAGUACUGCUGCCACAUAGCAACAAGUUUCAUGGCAUAUGCCAGUGAAAUGUCUUCUAUAGAUGUCUCAUGGACAAUAUAUUGACUAGCUGCAUCACAGCCUGGUAUGGAAACACUAAUGCCUUGAAUGGAAAAUCGUACAAGUAGUUGAUUUGGCCCCUUCCUUCACAGGUAAAGCUCUCCCAACCAUUGAGCACAUCUACAUGAAACGCUGUCAUUGGAAAGCAGGGUCCAUCAUUAGGGAUCCCCACCACCCAGGUUAUGCUUUCUCCUAACUUCUCACUACUACCAUCAGGAAGAAGGUACAGGAGCCUCAGGACUCAUGCUGUCUGAUUCAAGAACAGUUAUUACCCUUCACUCAUUAAGCUCUUGAGGAUAACUUCACUCAACUUCACUUGCCCCAUCAUCGAAAUGUUCCCACAACCAGUGGAAUCACUUUCAAGGUCUCUUCAUCUCAUGAUCUGGUUUUUUAUUGCUAUUUAUUUAUACUUGUAUUUGCACAGCUUGCUGUCUUCUGUACUCUGUCUGAAUGCCCUAGUUGGGCAGUCCUUCAUUAAUUCUGUUAUAAUUACCAUUCUAUAGGUUUGCUGAGUGUGCCCACAAGAAAAUGAAUCUCAGGGUUGCAUACUCAGCUUAUAUGUACUUUGAUAUUAAAAUAUACUUUGAACUUUGGCCUUUGAUUCUGAUUCUAAAAACGUAAUUGAGAAUAACAAGCUUAGUGGUUGAUGCCUGUGUAUUUUCAUCAAGAUUUCCAUCAUCUGCAGACUCCCUUGUGUUAAUUAGCAAAACAGGGAAACACUUUAUUCUAAGUCAACUUCCAACCUGAACUAACCAUUUUCUUGUUAAAUUUGAAUUUCAAAGCAAUAUGGAUGUUAAUCCAAUCAAUAUAACCAAUGUGUGUUAAACAAGCAAAAUGUCCUCCCCUGAAUUCAAGUGCACCAAUACCAUCAUCAACAACAAAGCCACUUUAAAGUAGAGAAGUAAAACUGAAAUGCCAUUUUACAUAGAACAUCAUUUACUGCACAAAAAGCCUUGAGGCAAAUUGUGGAUUAAUCCAUACAGGAUCAAAUGGAGUAAAUGUAUAAUUCAACCAACAAAUAAAAGCACGUCUAUUUAACCUCAAUGAAAUUUUGCAUCAUUAACAGCUUCAACUGGCCAUAUUGACAUUGCAAAUGAAGAACUAUCAGAUGAAGUACAAUACUCAAACAACAUUUAUCAGACUAAGUCUAUAAUGUGCUGUUUAAUGGUAAAAUCACAUUUUAUGUUACAGAGCUGCUGUUUAAUUAAAUUUCCGCAUUAAAUAAGACACUUCAGUUGAAUGGAUGAACAAUUUAUUGCAAGUGCAUAUGAUGCAUGUGCUAAACUAAAUCAAACAUAACAGCACUAGUGGUUGAUUCCAACACAGAAAGAUUUUCUGGAGGGAAAUAUCGUGUUUAUGUAUUUUCAGUACAGAGAGGAGAGUGAGUGAGUGAGAGAGAGUCAGUCACAGAACUCUACAGUACAAAAAAAUGCUCUCUGGUCCAUCUAGUCCAUGCCAGACUAUCAUUUUAUAUAUAUAGUGAUGCUCUGGGGGGUGGGCGUGGUCGACAGCCCACCCCUGCAUUUCUAAUGACCAGUACUGUUUAUUGCCUUUGUGUUAAAAUACUUUUGUGGGAUUAUGGUGGGAAGCUCCAGUUCAUUUAUUGUUACAUUUUAGCUUGGGUUAUACAGUUAUUUGCUUGUGUAUUUGUGGGUCACCCUAAUUGUAACCGAUGUGUGUGAUAGUCACCUCCCCCCGUCUGUGUGAGACUGGUGGGCUUCACUCUCCGGGUCAUGGUGCCUGGUCUGUUUUGUGUUUGUCACAAUA